This 674-nucleotide ribosomal RNA is filed under the name uncultured bacterium. RNAcentral describes it as "bacterial SSU rRNA". It matches the Rfam family "Bacterial small subunit ribosomal RNA", at positions 79 to 749 of the family's 1533-position model. The record is from RNAcentral.
CUUGCUUCUCUUGAGAGCGGCGGACGGGUGAGUAAUGCCUAGGAAUCUGCCUGGUAGUGGGGGAUAACGUUCGGAAACGGACGCUAAUACCGCAUACGUCCUACGGGAGAAAGCAGGGGACCUUCGGGCCUUGCGCUAUCAGAUGAGCCUAGGUCGGAUUAGCUAGUUGGUGGGGUAAUGGCUCACCAAGGCGACGAUCCGUAACUGGUCUGAGAGGAUGAUCAGUCACACUGGAACUGAGACACGGUCCAGACUCCUACGGGAGGCAGCAGUGGGGAAUAUUGGACAAUGGGCGAAAGCCUGAUCCAGCCAUGCCGCGUGUGUGAAGAAGGUCUUCGGAUUGUAAAGCACUUUAAGUUGGGAGGAAGGGUUGUAGAUUAAUACUCUGCAAUUUUGACGUUACCGACAGAAUAAGCACCGGCUAACUCUGUGCCAGCAGCCGCGGUAAUACAGAGGGUGCAAGCGUUAAUCGGAAUUACUGGGCGUAAAGCGCGCGUAGGUGGUUUGUUAAGUUGGAUGUGAAAUCCCCGGGCUCAACCUGGGAACUGCAUUCAAAACUGACUGACUAGAGUAUGGUAGAGGGUGGUGGAAUUUCCUGUGUAGCGGUGAAAUGCGUAGAUAUAGGAAGGAACACCAGUGGCGAAGGCGACCACCUGGACUAAUACUGACACUGA